RNAcentral lists this long non-coding RNA (254 nucleotides) under Vigna radiata. RNAcentral describes it as "long non-coding RNA (VRAD_LNC001870)". Lineage: Eukaryota; Viridiplantae; Streptophyta; Magnoliopsida; Fabales; Fabaceae. The record is from RNAcentral.
GGGGUUCGUGUACUUAUAGUGGUAAUACCCAAUCCACCCAGGCGUUUUGUAGAGUUACCACUCACAAGAUUAGUCCUUGUCAAGGUUAUAAGAACCCUAGGGUGGUCCUUAUGACAAGACCUCUUGUUCCUUUCACCACAUAACCAUUAUUCUCUACUUGAGAAAUAAUGAUUAUUAGAGUAUCAGGAUAACCUCUGACGUCUAGACUCCUAUAGCAAUACUCACGCUACUGAAAACGCCAUCAUAAAUAUCUC